RNAcentral lists this ribosomal RNA (860 nucleotides) under Andes insolitus. RNAcentral's name for it is "eukaryotic LSU rRNA". It matches the Rfam family "Eukaryotic large subunit ribosomal RNA", at positions 1316 to 1923 of the family's 3401-position model. Lineage: Eukaryota; Metazoa; Arthropoda; Insecta; Hemiptera; Cixiidae. The record is from RNAcentral.
AAAUGGAUGGCGCUCUAGCGUCGUGCCUAUACCNGGGCNCGUCAUACGNGCACAGUGGGCGUCUGUCUUCGGGCAAGAGCCGUUAUGCCUUGACGAGUAGGAGGGUCGCGGCGGUGAGCGCAGAAGGGUCUGGGCGUGAGCCCGCCUGGAGCCGCCGUCGGCGCAGAUCUUGGUGGUAGUAGCAAAUACUCUAGCGAGGGCCUGGAGGACUGACGUGGAGAAGGGUUUCUUGUGAACAGCCGUUGCACAAGAGUCAGUCGACCCUAAGCACUAGGAGAAAUCCGAUGUUGAUGGGUGGCUAUACAAAACCAUGUUCUGUUUGUUGCGAACGCUUCUCAAGCCCCUUCCGUAAUGGUUGCAGGGCAGCGAAGCGCCAAUAAAUUCACCUCUUGGGCUGUGAGAAAUUCGUCAGACACCCGUCGUGCAAGCGACCAGGGGCCGACGACAUGACUUUUGCCCAUCGAGGGAGGAUGCAGCGUAACAACUGCUCCUGUCGUGCAAAAGGGAAUCCGGUUCCUAUUCCGGAACCCGGCUGCGUAACCGCCACUCUGCGGGCACUCGCCUGCGAGCGCUCGUCGGGGUAACCCAAACUGGCCCGGAGACGCCGGCGGGGGGUCUGGAAAGAGUUUUCUUUUCUUUAUAAGCGUUCGAGUACCCUGGAAUCCUAUAGCAGGGAGAUAGGGUUUGGAACGCGAAGAGCACCGCAGUUGCGGCGGUGUCCGGACUUCCCCCCCGGACCUUGAAAAUCCGGGUGAGGGCUACGCGGAAGUCGCGCCGGAUCGUACCCAUAUCCGCAGCAGGUCUCCAAGGUAAGAGCCUCUAGUCGAUAGAAUAAUGUAGNNAAGGGAAGUCGGCAAACU